GAUGAAGAACGCAGCGAAAUGCGAUACGUAAUGUGAAUUGCAGAAUUCAGUGAAUCAUCGAAUCUUCGAACGCAUAUUGCGCUCUCUGGUAUUCCGGAGAGCAUGCUUGUUUGAGUAUCAUUAAACACCUCAACUUCCAUAUCUUUUUUGAAAUGGGAGUUGGACUUGAGUGAUCCCAACGCUUUUCCUCACCGAAAAGUGGCGGGUUACUUGAAAUGCAGGUGCAGCUGGACUUUUCUCUGAGCUAUAAGCAUAUCUAUUUAGUCUGCCUAAAAAACAGAUUAUUACCUUUGCUGCAGCUAACAUAAAGGAGAUUAGUUCUUGUGCUGACUGAUGCAGGAUUCACAAAGACAGGCUUCGGCCGACUUUGUAAACUCGAUCUCAAAUCAAGUAAGACUACCCGCUGAACUUAAGCAUAUCAAUAAGCGGAGGA
Molecule: unclassified non-coding RNA, 433 nt
Filed under: soil metagenome
Description: partial contains 5.8S ribosomal RNA, internal transcribed spacer 2, and large subunit ribosomal RNA
Rfam family: 5.8S ribosomal RNA (bases 1-120)
Source: RNAcentral